CGGACCUCUGGGGCCUUCUUCGGGCUCCAAGCACUCUGGGCAGGAGGACCGUUGUCCGGCCGACGUGGAAAGCUAGGGGACAAAUCUCAAGCACCCAGAAGGCUACAAAACUCAGCGCUCUCCUUGCCCUGGGCCUGGCUCAGUCUUCUGGAUUUGGUUUCAGACUUGGCCAACAUCCCUCUACUAUCUUCCCAGCUGGUGUUCAAGAAUAGCCCCCCUCCACUGGAUUCAGGAUCCCACACUAAACCGCAGCUUCCCAUCUGGGGACUUCCCUGUUCAGCUUCCUCAGACCGUCCUCUCCCCGGUUCCUGAUGAAGGCCGUCUGCGUAGAACCUGCCUCUGGACUCAGGAAGCGCAAGCCUUUCCUUCCUUCUCGAAUCGUAAGUGACCACAACGUCCUGUUUGCUUUGCAGCACCUAAUACGUAAACUUUUAUUAUGGGAGUGUGUGAUCGCAGGUUGUAUUUUUAGUAGAUUUAUUGAAUUGGUAAAUAUGUAUUUAAUGUCAACUAUGUUUCAAGAAGACUCAUCGCUGCCAAAUGCACAGAAGUGAGAGAAAUCAGAUCACUUCCUGUACAGAGUUUGCAUUCCAAGGGGGCUGGGAGACAACACAGAAGAAAGUGAAGAAAAACUCGAGAUUAUGUGAGCUAAUGAGCUAAGAAGACGAUAAUUCAAGGGGUUUGAAGACUUGGAGGUGGCGGGGCGUGCAUGGGGCUUGCUGAUUUAAUAAGGUAGUGAGGAAAAGGGCAUCUGAGGGGAAAAUGUUGGAGAUCCUCAAAACCUUAAGUUCAAAGACUCUCCCCCCCCCUUUUUUUUUUUUGCUUUUUUAGGGUCGCACCCAUGGCCUAUGAACGUCGCAGACGUGGGUUGGAUCCCGCGUUGCUGUGACCCUGGCGAAGGCCGGUGGGGAUAGGUCCGAUUAGCUCCUAGUCUGGGAACCGGGUGCGGCCCUGGAAAAUACAAAAAAUAAAAAAUGAAAAUAAGAUAACUUGAUGAAGAUUAUAAUCUGUGUUUCCUUUAUCAUUUGUGCAUUCAUUUUUCAUUUAUUGAUUAAUUCUUUCAGAAGCAUUUGUUGAAAUUUACUGUGGGUCAGGGUUUACACAUACACUCUAUUUGUAGUUAAAUCUUUUGAUAUUAUUCUACCAGUAUACAGUGUGCUUUCCUGAUGGACCGGCAUUUAAAUUGACUGUUAUUUCUAACUGUCAAUUUUUUAAGGCACGUUUUUGGAAGAACACCAACAAUGCAAUAUAAGUAGGCUAUCAUAACUUCUUAUAUUAUUAUGAAAAUAUUUCUUAUUUUAUUAUGAAAAUAUUUCUUAUAUUAUUAAAAUGACUCGAUUUAAUGUAUAUUUUCAGAGUGUUAUCUCUUUGAACAAAAUUCUGAAUGAGACAUGGUUGAAAGAAGGCUUUAAAAGUCAUGUAUGAAAGAUGUGAAAAAACCAAAUAACUUUCUAAUGUCACUUCCUAAAACUAAAUACUGUUUUACAUACGUGUAGCAGAGAUGAAGCAGUAAAUAUUUAAAAUGGCAAGAUGGAUAAAUAAGACACUGUGAUGACUCAUAUGGAAAAUGGCUUUUGAGCUUAUUUUAAAACGUUUUCUAUACACUAGAUCUUUAUUUAAAGUUUACUUAGGGUGUAAAUGAGUUGCAUAGGGUUUUUUCCACCACUCUUUACAAGUGAAUAGUGCUUCUUACUAAGAUGAGCUUGUUCAGAAUGCACUACUUAAUUCUCAGGUUUUAAUGAGCCACACAAUUCAGAGGCAACCACGGUACUUCUUCACGUUAUUUUGUUCAACUACGGAAGAAACUGUUUUCGAUGUUGGAUGAUAGUAUUAAUGGAUUUUUCAAAUUACGCCGUGAUAAAAGUCUGCAGCUGUUUGCUGCUGAGAAGGAAGAGAGGUAGUACUGAAAAGGGCUGGUAUGAAAUUGCAAUGAGAAAUUGCAAUUCAGUCACUCAAAUAUGUGAUAUCAGUAUGUUUUUCAUUUGGAAGCAAGAAGUUAGAGGCAAAAUAAAUAACUGACAUUUUAAAAGAACAAAUGGACUAAAAUGCUACUUUCAAAAACAAUGUUUUUUUUCUGCCGUAAUUCCCUGGCAAUGGUUAGUUCCAUAAUUACAUAUAUUCCUCCAAUAUCUCAAAUUAUUUAUUAUAAACUAUAUACUCUAAAACUAUGCCAAAUAUAUAAUGAUUAGAUUUGUAAUCAUGUAUAUAAAUGUAUAUGCACACACACGCACACUUUCUCAUUAAUCUUGCAAACUCUAAUGAGUAGCAAGAGUGACAUCAAUAAAAUAAAGUGAUAUAAUAGUGGUUAGUUCCAAAGACCCAUCCUUAUACAGAAACUUUGAAAAUUCAAAGAAAAACUGUCAGAAUCAACACUUUGGAAAACAGUCAAAGCUAUAUAGGAACCAAGGAAAAAAGUGAAUCAGGACAAAAAUAACUCAAAAAUGGGAGGAAAGCUUUGUAAUAUUUUUACCGGUGCUUGUCCCACCUCUAACCAGGCUCAGCAGUUGUCUGGAAGACAGCAGCCCACGUCUCCACCUCGGGACCCGGUUCCUGGGGAAGGUCUGGGGAGCAGCACAGACCUUCCUCUCAAAGCAUAUGUUGCUCUCAUUUCUAACCUGUCUGGGUGCUACGUAGGGACUGACAUAAGGAGCUUGCCAUUUUUUGCCAAAUCUGGAACUCAAUCAGGGCAGAAAAGCAGCAGACAUUCCCCGUAACUAUCAUAAGGUAAGGAAACAGUAUCUGUGGCUUGAGGUAGAUGUCUUGGCACCAAAAAGUGCCAAGUCUGGACGGAAAAGCUGAGUGAGAGCAUAUUUGGGAAAUGAGGGUCUUCAAGACACCUGCAUACAGGCAACUGAGGGGGCCAUACACAUACUCGACACAGAACCCAGGCUCAGAGAAGACCCUAUGCCUCCCUCUGGGUGAUCUCCAGGCUCAGGACCAGAGGAAGUGAAGCCUGAGGCUAAAUUGCUGCAAGUGAGCCCCACACAGAGCUGCCCUGCAAAGACGAGGCGGGCUCUCCAUUUCUUUCUCUCUAGUUUUGUUUCCUACUCUCUUUCUCAUCUCUCCUUCCUCCCCCUUCCCUUUUUUCCCUCCCUCCCUUCCUUCCUUCCUUCCUUCUUUCUUUCUUUUUUUUUUUUUUCCCACUGUACAGCAAGGGGGUCAGGUUAUCCUUACAUGUAUACAUUACAAUUACAGUUUUCCUUCCUUCCUUCCUCUUUGGGCUUUUGCUUUUAAGUAAGUAAAACAAGUCAGAUCAGCUAUUGUUUUGUAAUAACUUCAUGUGGCUGAUGCUAUUUUAUUCCAGAAUGUUGCAGUAUUUGCCAUGUUCUCUAGCAGUAGAUGAAGAGUAAAUCAUAUAUGUGAACAUGAAAAUAUAUAAAAAUAAGAAAUAGGAGAGCUGACUGUGGUUAUAGAGGAGGAUCUUAUCAAAUAGAAGGGGGAAAUAAAGGCAAAACAUGAGUUCUCAGCAAUAGAAUCAUCCCCCCUUCCCCAGCCUACAACCCAGAGUUGUCAGGUUUUUGGUAACAUGUAUGAAUCUUGAAACAAUACAGUGUUACUGAGCUAGGCUGGGACCUGGGAUCUUUUGCUGCAGUGCUUGCACCUGGUCAAACAUCUCUUCAAGCAAGGAAAUAACAAAGAAAUAAUAAGGACUAAAAAUAAGUGCAUGCAUGCACAGUGGGGCAAGUUAUGGACAACGAGAUACAAAAAGACUUAAAACAAAACCUGCCACUUCUGAAGAGCUAGAGCAAAAGCAGGAUACUACACAUGCCCUCUGCACACAACACCACCAAAGGGCUGGCCAGACCACCUAAACCAUCGCUGUGGCCCAACCCCUGGACCCACCCUGACCCUCACCUCAUGUAAGGAACCAGCUCACGCCCACUCAGGGAGUGAGCAAGUGAGCAGAGGAAACUAUUGCUUGUUUUCACUCCCCACUGCUGUAGCCAAGGUCCCAAUAAAGACGUGCCUGAAUUUCUUGCCUGCCCUCUUCUCAGUUUCUCUGGAUUUAGGAGGCCAAGAACCCUCGUUGGUAUCACUACUAUUGAUGUAUUACCAGAGCAGAAACUUUUUUCCUGCAAAAAUUCAGAGAUACUUCCCUCACUAUGACAUUCCAUAAGAUAUGCAAGAAAUUAAUGCAUUUUUGCUUCUCUAAGUAUACAUGUAAAAUUUUACUUUGCCUUUAGAAUUUUGUAAAUACUUUCAAAUUAAUCAUUAAUAGAACUAAAUUGUAUUCUCAUAAUUAUUAUUACUUAGUAAUUACCAGACAUAACAGGCAUAAAUGACAUGUAACUGUAUUGAAAUUAAAAGAGAAAUGCCAAGUGUGUACAGAUGCUCUAAUAAUAGAUGAUAUCGAAUGCAGUUUUUGUCAAAAUAUUUUCCUUAAAUAAACUUUUAGCCAUUAGAGGAAGAUUUUUCUUAAGUAUGAAAAAAUUGACAAGUUAGCCAGGUAAACAUUGCAUUUUAUUUCCUUACAUGAUAUUAAGCAAAAUCUAAAUUACCAAAUACAUUGAGGUGUAUAAAAUACAUAUUUUUCUAGGUAAUGUGACUUAAAAAUUUUUUAAAUCAAAAUAAAUUAAUUUAUCUUGUGCUAAAAUGGUAAAGUACUUAAAAUACUUCUUUCAAAUAGCAACUUAAUCAUACCAGAAGAAAAGGAAAUAACUGGUAAUUAACUAAGUCCAUUUUUAUUGUGCGCACAAUUCAUAUGACAAUUCUUAUACCCAGGGAGUUGCUGGGCACCGUUAGUAUCCUGCCCAGGAAAGCCAAGCUUACAAUUUUCGUAACUUUUAAAAUCAACAGUAUUUUUCCUCUGAGGUCAUAUCGGGUCAGUCUUUGGUGAGUGAAAAGAACAUGCCAAGGUCAAUGAAAAUUAUCAGAGGAGAAUGUUGAUGGAGAUUAAUUUUAGAGGAAGAUAGAUGGGCCAAAGCAGAGAAGAAAUGACUGUAGAUGAUUAGUGUCUAUGGUUUAGAGAGACUCAUUUUAGCUGAAGAGUGUUACCACAAUCUCUUAUUCAACCUGACUUGCUUUAUUAUUAUUAGGUGUUAAUAAUUCAGCAAUUAUGUUUGAAUUUAUUUGACCUUAAUAGUAAUUAUGGCACCCUAAUACUAAUGUAUGUUAGUACAAUAAGCAAGAAACAUCAGGACUGGAGUUCCCAUCGUAACUCAGCAGAAAUGAAUCUGACUAGUAUCCAUGAGGACGCAGGUUCAGUCCCUGGCCUUGCUCAGUGGGUUAAGGAUUGGACUACGAGCUGUGGUGUAGGUCACAGAUGUAGCUUGGAUCUGGUGUUGCUAUGGCUGUGGUGUAGGCCGGCAGCUAUAGCUCAGAUUUGAUCCCUAGCCUGGGAAUCUCCAUAUGCUGCGGGUAAGGCCCUAUAAAGCAAAAGAAGAAAGACAGAAACAUCGUGAUCAAAUUGGAUCUUCCAAUGCAAUAUUGAUAUUGCAUACCAUUGGCAAUUAAUAAUAAUUAAGACUGUUGUAUCAUGGUAGCAAUUGUACUAUGAUAUUAUGUAAUUAUUUUUUAACUUUAUUUUUUGCUUGGUGCUAGCUGGGUAGGAAGACUUGGCAGGGGUUUGUUUUGUUUGAGAUCAUUGAUUUUGGCCAAGAGGGUUGUAAUGCAAGGCAGUAGGCUAAGUUUACCAUCUAGGAAGCCAGAUCAGAGCAGAGGCUGAGAGAUGACAUAAAUAGCAGUCUAGAAACAUUACCCUGGAAGAUGAUAAGCCAGUGGUUCACGCCCGUGAUCCUCAGCCCAUUGUAGGACUCUAGAAUCACUGCAGUGUGCAGAAUCCAGAUAGCCACGAUAAAAUAAAUAGUACUAUGUAUUCAUCCAGAUGCUUAUUGAGUUCCUACUGUGUCGUAGCUGCUGUUCCACACACACACACACACACACACACAGUUCAUUAUUGCCAGAAGCAGAUCAGAGUUGAUUUUCCCCUCAUUUCCCCUCAGGUCACAUUUCAGAGGCAGUGAGUUAGAUAGGCAUCUGGUGGUUGACCAUUUCCCAGGUCUUUCUUCCUCUUUGACAAGCCACCCUUCUCUCCUCCUAUGCUUGACUGUUUAUGGGAUGCUACAGGCGGGUCCACAAACAUGCUGAUUCCUUGAGGCUUUUGAGUUUACGAGAAGAGCCUCAGUUCUAACAGUCUUGAAGGGAGCUUCAGUAAUACAAGUGCAUCCUUCGCUUGCCAGUCAUGAUGGAUAUUCAUAGCCAAACAGCAGUGAAUUAUUCUACAAAACAACAGCAGCAGCAACUACAAGAAACUUCUGGUGACGUGAGGAUAGACAUGAACACAGGUCAUGGCCAUGGGUAUUGCAUAUGUCCACACUCAUCAAAUUGUACACGUUGACUAGAACAUGGGAAAUAAGGGUCAUGUUUUUCAAAUAUAUGUAGAUGCUGUUUUAAUGUCAAAAUAUUUUAAGGGUUAAUUUAUUCAUUUAGCAAAUACUUUUUAAAUUUCUUUUAUGUGCCAGACUCAAAUAUUUUAAGCUGUUUUCUCAGUCAAUGAACAGCAAAACUACAACAACCUUGUAGAUUUAUGGGCAUUUUUUUGUCAUUUAAAAUGCAUGUUCUUAUGAAAUAACAGUAUACAAGGAUAAGGAACUAUCUACCGAAUGUUUAUCACAGUGGGGUUUUUAAGAAUUAAAAGUAGUAAACUAACCCAAAUAUUUAAUAACAAAAGGUAUGAUUAAAUUCAAUAGGGGAUACAAUGAUACACUAUGGGGCUAUCAAAAUUAUAAUGUAGAUGUAUAAUUAUUGAGGUGGGGAAAAAAGCCCUGUAACACUGAAAAAGAAAAAA
This 6784-nucleotide long non-coding RNA is filed under the name Sus scrofa (pig). RNAcentral's name for it is "lncRNA (ENSSSCG00030069520.1)". Lineage: Eukaryota; Metazoa; Chordata; Mammalia; Artiodactyla; Suidae. The record is from RNAcentral.